This 921-nucleotide ribosomal RNA is filed under the name uncultured archaeon. Its description in RNAcentral is "bacterial SSU rRNA". It matches the Rfam family "Archaeal small subunit ribosomal RNA", at positions 1 to 922 of the family's 1478-position model. The record is from RNAcentral.
UUCCGGUUGAUCCUGCCAGAGGUUACUGCUAUCGGAGUUCGAUUAAGCCAUGCGAGUCUAAAGGUUUCUUCGGAAACCUUGGCGGACUGCUCAGUAACACGUGGAUAACCUACCCUUGGGACUGGAAUAACCCCGGGAAACUGGGGAUAAUACCGGAUAGAUCAGGGAUGCUGGAAUGCACCUUGAUCCAAAGCUCCGGCGCCCAAGGAUGGGUCUGCGGCCUAUCAGGUAGUAGUGGGUGUAACGUACCUACUAGCCAACGACGGGUACGGGUUGUGAGAGCAAGAGCCCGGAGAUGGAUUCUGAGACACGAAUCCAGGCCCUACGGGGUGCAGCAGGCGCGAAACCUUUACAAUGUGCGAAAGCAUGAUAAGGGAACUCCGAGUGCCAGUAUCUAAUACUGGCUGUCCUUGUGCCUAAAACGCACAAGAUAGCAAGGGCCGGGUAAGACCGGUGCCAGCCGCCGCGGUAACACCGGCGGCCCGAGUGGUAGCCGCUAUUAUUGGGUCUAAAGGGUCCGUAGCCGGUUCGAUAAGUCCUCUGGGAAAUCUGGUUGCUUAACAAUCAGACUGCCAAGGGAUACUGUCGAACUUGAGACCGGGAGAGGUAAGAGGUACUUCAGGGGUAGGAGUGAAAUCUUGUAAUCCCUGGGCGACCAUCUGUGGCGAAGGCGUCUUACCAGAACGGGUCUGACGGUGAGGGACGAAAGCUGGGGGCGCAAACCGGAUUAGAUACCCGGGUAGUCCCAGCCGUAAACGAUGCUCGCUAUGUGUCAGGUACGGUGUGACCGUAUCUGGUGCCGUAGGGAAACCGUGAAGCGAGCCACCUGGGAAGUACGGCCGCAAGGCUGAAACUUAAAGGAAUUGGCGGGGGAGCACUACAACGGGUGGAGCCUGCGGUUUAAUUGGAGUCAACGCCGGG